Molecule: long non-coding RNA, 1876 nt
Organism: Oreochromis niloticus (Nile tilapia)
Lineage: Eukaryota; Metazoa; Chordata; Actinopteri; Cichliformes; Cichlidae
Exons: 3
Source: RefSeq, a predicted model, not a curated record
GCAUUCGCACCGAGUGACUUCAGAGAGCGAAUGAAAGGAGACGCCUGCACAAUCCUGGCCUUCUUCUCCUCGAGAUGAAAGAGAGUUAAGAUGACAACAGCUCAGCAGAUGAAGAUGGAUCAUUUAGAAACAAUCAGAGCAGGAAAGUGACAAAGAAGCUCGGAUUUAUCACUCUUCAUUCAUAUGCAGCUUGUAUAUGUUUCUGAGAGAUGGUCCACACUUUCAUCGCCAUGCUGGACCCUGGUGUGCCGGGAUUGGCUGCUCUGUGUCUGUCAGUAACAGUCAGAACAACAAACAUGGUGAAAUGUCUGCAGCGAUUUCUUCUCCUCUGAGUUCAGUUUGUUCUCCCGGUGAGACAGACACCUCUCACCUCUCCAGAGGAGACCCGAGCAGGCUGCCUCAGACCACUCAAACUUCCUUUCUCAGGUCUCUCUGUGACCUUCGUCCUCGUCUCCUCCUCUCUGGCAGGACUCUGAAUGCUAAUCAGCUCUGACCUCUCCAUCUGGAUCCACUCAACAUCACAGCGCUCCACCUGUUCCACAUCUCCACCCAGGGAGGUGACAUUGAAGCCAGAGUUGAGUUUGGUUGUUGAAUUUCUUUUUUUAUAACUUUUUUGAUGAAAAUAUGCGUUUUUUCCUUCAUUUUCAUUAUUUUGGGAGCGUGGUGAAGCUGCUGCCUUCACCUUUGUCCUACAUUUAACAUUAAAGUCGCUGACACGUUCCUGUGCAGUAAAACAGGCUGGCUCUUCCUCACCUCCUGUUGUGAAGGAGAUUUAUCUGAAGUACUGACAUUAAUCCUGGACUGACUCAAAGCUUCAAACAGCAACAUGACAGUAACUUUAAAGUGCAACUAUUCUGCUCAUUUUCAUUCUUGGACUGUGCUAGAGGAGCUUUGCAUGAUUCGUGGUUUGAAAUAAUCCUUCUUUAUCUCACAGAUAGAAAAGAAGGUUUUCCGUCUCUGUGACAACAUUCAGAUCCAAGAGUUUAGGGCAGUCUGCAGAGCUUUGGCUCAGCUCACCGACAACCAGCAGGCCAAAGCUUUCCAGAAAACUCCAUCGUGGAAACGCUCAUCUGAGCUUUUGUUCAGCUUCAUGUUCAAUUUGCAUGUACAAACUCCAUCAGCCUGCAAUUACCUGAAGGGCCAAUUAGAUGCCAAAAUUAAUGAUGUAAUUGUUAUUAAUGAUCUGUCCUCCAUCUUUAACAUAUCAAAGGGAGGCUCAGUCAGUGGGUCUGAACACUCACAUCAAACAGCUCUAAUGGAAAAUCAAUCUGUGGGCAUCGAGUACAAGUCAGGGCUUUGGUUAAAAUUCAAACCAGCAUCGAUAUCCAUGCGUUUAAGGUCAUUUUUAUUACAUCACACAAAACUUUAUUAGUUUAUGUGUGAUGAUGUGUGCCAUCCAGACAGAGUGUCACUAACCAGAGCAGAAAACAAUCAGGACGGAUUUUCCCCUCAUUCCCGACAUUCAGCCCGUUAGCUUGGUGCCAUUUAAAGUCUCUGACAGACAAUCCUCAUGUUCCUGGGAUAUUUAACCUUAUAUGUGUCUGUUAUUAAGUGCACAGUGUUGUUGUUCAGCAGCUGCAGAUUCGAACAAAGAUGAAGGAUUCUUGAACAAAUGCUGGAGUUUGAUUAAAUUGAUCUACUUAAGGAAAGAAGUACCUUUAAAGAGUUAUCGGUUUAACCGUGAGAGAAAAAACCUGUGAAGGUUACUAUAAACACAAUUUUACAUUUUACUAUAAACUGAAAACUCAGUGACAGAAAAAUCUUUUUACAGUGCUGAUGUAAACUCACACAGGAUGAAUUAUUUUAAAGCUUGUUUAUCACUUUUCUUUUUGCAGAGAAAAAAAAGUCAUGAACAUGUAAAUUGUGUCUGUUUCAC